Molecule: transfer RNA, 71 nt
Filed under: Kiritimatiellaceae bacterium
Lineage: Bacteria; Pseudomonadati; Kiritimatiellota; Kiritimatiellia; Kiritimatiellales; Kiritimatiellaceae
Also listed under: 3 other names
Description: tRNA-Gln
Rfam family: tRNA
About the family: Transfer RNA (tRNA) molecules are approximately 80 nucleotides in length. Their secondary structure includes four short double-helical elements and three loops (D, anti-codon, and T loops).
Source: RNAcentral
UGCCCGAUAGUGUAAUGGUAGCACACAAGAUUUUGAUUCUUGGCGUCUAGGUUCAAAUCCUAGUCGGGCAA